CGCUUGAAUAAACUUUUUCAAGUAGAAUCUGCCCAAUGAAAUUUAAAUGGCCGCAGUACCCUGACUGUGCUAAGGUAGCAUAAUAAUUUGUUUCAUAAUUGGAGGCUGGAAUGAACGAUCUGACGUGAUAGAAACUUUUUUUUUCUUAAUUUACCUGAAUUAGUAAUUAUGUAAAAAAACAUAAAUGUUUUAGAGGGACGACAAGACCCUAAAAGCUUAAUUUUAAAUGACUUUAAUACUUUAAUAAAUUAUUAUUGUUAAAAAAAAUUUUUACUGGGGCGGUAAAUUUAUAAACUAAUUUUUUUUUAACACUUUAAGUGAAUAUCAACUACCUUUUAAAAAACAAGAAAAAAGUUACUUUAGGGAUAACAGCAUAAUAAACUAAUAGAGCUCUUAUCGACUAGUUUGAUUAUGACCUCGAUGUUGAAUUGAAAUACUUUAAGGAGCAGAACCUUUACAUAGUAAGUCUGUUCGACUUUUAAAAUUUCACA
RNAcentral lists this ribosomal RNA (491 nucleotides) under Ligia italica. RNAcentral describes it as "partial 16S ribosomal RNA". It matches the Rfam family "Archaeal large subunit ribosomal RNA", at positions 1920 to 2669 of the family's 2987-position model. Lineage: Eukaryota; Metazoa; Arthropoda; Malacostraca; Isopoda; Ligiidae. The record is from RNAcentral.